RNAcentral lists this ribosomal RNA (694 nucleotides) under uncultured marine bacterium. RNAcentral describes it as "bacterial SSU rRNA". It matches the Rfam family "Bacterial small subunit ribosomal RNA", at positions 97 to 825 of the family's 1533-position model. The record is from RNAcentral.
GGCAGACGGGUGAGUAACAUGUAGGUAUCUGCCCUUUGGCCUGGAAUAACACGAGGAAACUUGUGCUAAUACCGGAUAAGUCUUUACGGAGAAGGCUUUAUGCACCAUUGGAUGAGCCUGCACUUGAUUAGUUUGUUGGUGGGGUAAUGGCCUACCAAGACUGUGAUCAAUAGCUGAUUUGAGAGGAUGAUCAGCCACAUUGGGACUGAGACACGGCCCAAACUCCUACGGGAGGCAGCAGUGGGGAAUCUUGCACAAUGGAGGAAACUCUGAUGCAGCGAUGCCGCGUGAGUGAAGAAGGCCCUUGGGUUGUAAAGCUCUUUCGUCGGGGAAGAAAAUGACUGUACCCGAAUAAGAAGGUCCGGCUAACUUCGUGCCAGCAGCCGCGGUAAUACGAAGGGACCUAGCGUAGUUCGGAAUUACUGGGCUUAAAGAGUUCGUAGGUGGUUGAAAAAGUUAGUGGUGAAAUCCCAGAGCUUAACUCUGGAACUGCCAUUAAAACUUUUCAGCUAGAGUAUGAUAGAGGAAAGCAGAAUUUCUAGUGUUGAGGUGAAAUUCGUAGAUAUUAGAAAGAAUACCAAUUGCGAAGGCAGCUUUCUGGAUCAUUACUGACACUGAGGAACGAAAGCAUGGGUAGCGAAGAGGAUUAGAUACCCUCGUAGUCCAUGCCGUAAACGAUGUGUGUUAGACGUUG